GAAGAAUUCGUUGUGAGGAGACAAGAGAUUCACAGUCCACAAACCUGGUUCCAUAAUGGAUGGUCCUCAGAGAAGAAAGAAAACUUUGAGUAACCUAGUGAAUGGUCCAGAAGGUGGAUAAACCUCUAAGAUAAUAGCAUGAAAUUUGCCAUAAUGAUAUCAUCAGCAGGUCAGAUGGGACACAAGCGUCUGUGGAUUUACUUUCAACUCCACUGCCACAUAUUAGUGGAGACUCCAGGAGUGGAUGAAUUUUUUGCAGAUGAGGCUCCUUCUCCUUGUCUCAACUUCUCUUCCAACUAA
RNAcentral lists this long non-coding RNA (300 nucleotides) under Sus scrofa (pig). RNAcentral describes it as "lncRNA (ENSSSCG00070017228.1)". The record is from RNAcentral. Lineage: Eukaryota; Metazoa; Chordata; Mammalia; Artiodactyla; Suidae.